This 212-nucleotide ribosomal RNA is filed under the name uncultured Enterobacter sp. RNAcentral describes it as "partial 16S ribosomal RNA". It matches the Rfam family "Bacterial small subunit ribosomal RNA", at positions 312 to 525 of the family's 1533-position model. The record is from RNAcentral. Lineage: Bacteria; Pseudomonadati; Pseudomonadota; Gammaproteobacteria; Enterobacterales; Enterobacteriaceae.
CCGCCGCGCGCGGCGGGCCUACGGGAGGCAGCAGUGGGGAAUAUUGCACAAUGGGCGCAAGCCUGAUGCAGCCAUGCCGCGUGUAUGAAGAAGGCCUUCGGGUUGUAAAGUACUUUCAGCGGGGAGGAAGGUGUUGAGGUUAAUAACCUCAGCAAUUGACGUUACCCGCAGAAGAAGCACCGGCUAACUCCGUGCCAGCAGCCGCGGUAAUA